Molecule: non-coding RNA, 1669 nt
Organism: Chelonia mydas (Green sea turtle)
Lineage: Eukaryota; Metazoa; Chordata; Testudines; Cheloniidae
Source: the annotation of a RefSeq genome assembly
UGAAGUGGCUUUCUUGCUGGAUUUUGAUAUUUUGUUUCAUGGUUUCUUACAGCCACUAGUGGGCGCCCAUGACUUACACAUAGUGACGUUUCACAUUACAUUAGAUACUUCGUUCUAUAACAAUAUCUGAGUCAAACUGACUGACAGAAGUCCCCUUGUGACUUCAGCAUCAUAAGACGGGCGGGGAAGAGAGGGGUUGGCCUCAGAAAGAGCCGAUCUAACAUUUAAAACCGGAAUUAACAUUUAAACAUAUUAAAGGAAGAAUUAUUUUAUAAUUAACCAAAGACUCCUAAAAAAAGAAGACGAUAAAUUUAUGCUGCAAAAUGCUUUACUACUUGGCUUUACCGCUCUAUCUUCUGCUUGUUUACUCAGGUGCUGUGUCGGGCAAUUCAAUCCAAUCCAUUGAACCCCACGUGUCUGUCAUAGAAGGAGACGCUGUGGCACUCAGCUGCUCCUACAGCACCAGCUAUAGCGGUGUCUCUCUCCACUGGUACCGCCAGAGCCCCCGCCAAGCCCCUCAGUACAUUCUCCAGAGAGGCGCGAAGGGAAGCACCAUCAGUGACCACGCAGAUUUUGCCCGGAGGAGGUUCACUGCUGACACGAACGCCACUUCUACAGUUCUGACCAUCGCAGAGCUGGAGCUGGCGGACGAAGCUGUGUAUUAUUGUGCGUUGAAUGAGACACAGUGAGAGAGUCCCCGGAGACAGCUGCACAAAAACCCUCCCACAUCCCUCACUUGCAUUCUUCCCCAUCUGUCUUGGCUGUUGAGUUUGAAAAACCUUUGAAGCAGGAGCUGUCCCUCACUAGGUGUCUGUGCAGCCCCCUGCCUGACAGGGCCGGCCCAGAUCUCAGUUUUAUUGUCUAGGUGCCAUCACCAUGACCGUCAAUUUCCAACUGUGUGCUAGGAAAUACUUGGUCUCAGCGUUUUAAUCUGAUUUCGGGUUUUGAACAGCAGAUUACCAUUAAAAAUGAACAAGGAUGGAUAUAAUAGAUUGACAGAUUUUAAAAACCAGAAGGCACCGAUCUGAUCGAAUCUGACUCCUGCAUAGCACAGGUCAGAGAAUGUCAUCUCACAAGUCCUGCUUUCAGGAAAACAUUUUCAAAAAUUAACUACAGAAUUGCAAGCGCUCCCGUGACAGCGCUUUGAUGUGUGAGUGUGGUGGCGCUCAAACUUGCUGCUCUGGGUGUGUGUGUGUGGGGGUGAUUUUUCAGGGGUUAGAGCAAGUUAAAGCGCUAUAGAAUGAUAAGUGUAGACAAAUAUACCUUUUACUGGGCACCUCACAGCCCCAUAAAAUGUAUUUAUUUUCACAUCGUUUCCGUGAUAUAAGGCAGCACCAUGAUCUUCAUUUUGGGGAUGAGGUCCUGAAGCACAGAGAACUAACAAGUCACCCACCCAAGGUCACACAGAUAGUCUUUGGUAGAGCAGGGACUAGAAUCUUGCAAAGUUACAGCGCCGCUCAGAGAGCGCAGAAAGAAAACUGCAGUGGUGUGUUCACACCGACAGCUGCCUGCACGACAGCGUGUUCACACUGGCAGCAUUCACAGCGCUUUUCAGAGCGGUGCACUCUGGGCAGCUGUCCCACAGAGCACCUCUUUCUCUUUUGCUGCUAAGACUUGUGGGAAGGCGGAGGGGACCAAGGGACAUCCUGGGUCCUGUCCCAAUGCCCCG